CCUACGGGAGGCAGCAGUGGGGAAUAUUGCACAAUGGGCGAAAGCCUGAUGCAGCAACGCCGCGUGAGCGAUGAAGGCCUUCGGGUCGUAAAGCUCUGUCCUCAAGGAAGAUAAUGACGGUACUUGAGGAGGAAGCCCCGGCUAACUACGUGCCAGCAGCCGCGGUAAUACGUAGGGGGCUAGCGUUAUCCGGAAUUACUGGGCGUAAAGGGUGCGUAGGUGGUUUUUUAAGUCAGAAGUGAAAGGCUACGGCUCAACCGUAGUAAGCUUUUGAAACUGAGAAACUUGAGUGCAGGAGGGGAGAGUAGAAUUCCUAGUGUAGCGGUGAAAUGCGUAGAUAUUAGGAGGAAUACCAGUUGCGAAGGCGGCUCUCUGGACUGUAACUGACACUGAGGCACGAAAGCGUGGGGAGCAAACAGGAUUAGAUACCCUGGUAGUCCACGCCGUAAACGAUGAGUACUAGGUGUCGGGGAUUACCCCCCUCGGUGCCGCAGCUAACGCAUUAAGUACUCCGCCUGGGAAAUACGCUCGCAAGACUGAAACUUAAAGGAAUUGACGG
This 559-nucleotide ribosomal RNA is filed under the name uncultured bacterium. RNAcentral describes it as "bacterial SSU rRNA". It matches the Rfam family "Bacterial small subunit ribosomal RNA", at positions 338 to 916 of the family's 1533-position model. The record is from RNAcentral.